This is a long non-coding RNA of Pyrus x bretschneideri (Chinese white pear), 944 nucleotides long. RefSeq lists it as uncharacterized. The record is from RefSeq and is a predicted model, not a curated record. The transcript has 2 exons. NCBI's taxonomy places the organism in Eukaryota, Viridiplantae, Streptophyta, Magnoliopsida, Rosales, Rosaceae.
CUGCCGACUGGUUAAGGGAUAAGCACUAAGCAGAAAAUAAAUUAGGGAUAAAUGAGUGAAAAUAUUGCCAAAUUGGCAAUACGUACAUAAACACAAAAACCGUUUCAAGUUGGGACAGGUGAGUUUUAUGAGCCUUCGGCUUUUGCUUCCGUUUAGGCAGCAGGUGAUGUGGGCGAGAUGCCAAAGCUAGCUAAUAAGUCAAAACAGAAGAAAGGAGAUAAAUGCAUCAAACUGGCCGUUUUUGUCUAUAAAAGCAUCUUUUAAGAGAGAGAGAGAGAGCUGCAGGUGGGUAUUUCAGUAGUUAUGGAGGAAGAAGACGCACGCACAGAAGAAAGUCUGGUUCAAUUUCUAGGUUUUGAUGGAGAAAGUUGUGAAUACAUAACAAAGGUAUUGGCGCGCCUCAAUUUGAAUGAGUGGCUAAUAUCGGAGACUUAGCCAUACGAUUCUGAUUGAGCCGCGUCAAUAUCUCCUUCUGCAUCUUUCUCCAUCCAUCCUGUCAACUCGUCAUCAGAUAUUCAUGGUGGUCGGACAUGAAAAACGAAAAGAUUCUCUCCAGUAGCAUUUAAGCUUGGCCAUGCAUUGAUGUCAGAGAAACAUCAUCAAUAGCAUCAGUUGCUGGUAGAAGGGCUCAUUGUGAAUGUUGUGUGGGUAGGUGGUGGGUGGGUCAAGAAGAAGAUAGCAACCAGAGCUGCUAGAUUUAUCAUUUAUGGGGCUAUUGACAAGGACCCAUGGCCCCCUUUCAAUUUUUGAUAAUUUGAUGGAUUCCAACUUUUCUCUGCUCCGUUUGUCUUGCCUCCUAAGAAAUCAAAUCCGAGUCCCACUUAGUAGAUAUGUUUGGAUUUUGAGUAGAAAUCAUGGAAAUAUCUGAUUACUUUUAACUAAGUUUUCUUUUCCUUUUCACCAUCUCUUUAAUAAUUGGUGUGACAAUGUUCAAAUUCAAAGUA